Molecule: long non-coding RNA, 335 nt
Filed under: Sorghum bicolor (sorghum)
Lineage: Eukaryota; Viridiplantae; Streptophyta; Magnoliopsida; Poales; Poaceae
Description: long non-coding RNA (SBIC_LNC004626)
Source: RNAcentral
GUUGUGCAUCGUGUUUGUGGCACCCUCCAUGAAUCAUCUCUUAUGAGCUACGUCUUUCUUGUGCAAAUUGUUAAACUUCAUGUGUCACUUUCUUCAUCUCCAAUGUGAGUUUAUCUCAAGACUUCCCAGGUUGAUAUUGAAAGUUUUCCUGCAGGGGUUAGUCCUCACAAAAUAUACCAAUAUCUACUCAAGCAGUUUUUAGUUCAGUAACCAAACUAGACUCCAUGUCUAAUCAGAUUCAGGAAGCCUAUUUAACCUAAGCACCAUGCUUAAUUUAAAUGCCAAUGGAAGUAUGUCGAGUACUUCCAAACCAACACUUGCUAGUAAAUAGAUAA